Molecule: ribosomal RNA, 497 nt
Filed under: uncultured bacterium
Lineage: Bacteria
Description: partial 16S ribosomal RNA
Rfam family: Bacterial small subunit ribosomal RNA
Source: RNAcentral
GAUGAACGCUGGCGGCGUGCCUAAUACAUGCAAGUCGAGCGAAAAGAUCAUGAUCUUGCGCCUCGGACGUGAGCCGCGGACGUGUGUGUAACACGUGUAUAACCUACUUAUAAUACUGGUAUAACUUCGGGAAUCCGGAUCUAAUACCGGAUAAGAUAUUGAAGCACGUGGGGGAAUGGUAAGAUUCGGUGGUUGGGGCUCGUAUAGCGGCAUCUCGGCCUCAUUGGGUAGUUGGUAAGUUAAAGGCUUACCAAGGGAAGCAGGCGUAAACGACCGAAGAGGCUGAUCGGCGACCCGGGAACUGAGCCACGGUCAAGACUACUACGAGACGCAGCAGUCGCGAAUCUUCCGCAAUGGGCGAAAGCAUGACGCAGCAACGCCGCGUGAGUGAUGAAGGUCUUCCGAUCGUAAAACUCUGCUACUAGGGAAGAACAUCUGUGUACGUAACUGUGCCCAGCGUGACGGUAAUUAAUCAGAAAGCACCGGCUAACUACGUG